This is a long non-coding RNA of Eurytemora carolleeae, 631 nucleotides long. RefSeq lists it as uncharacterized. The record is from RefSeq and is a predicted model, not a curated record. The transcript has 3 exons. NCBI's taxonomy places the organism in Eukaryota, Metazoa, Arthropoda, Copepoda, Calanoida, Temoridae.
AUGUCGCAGCUAUUCCUAACCCUUUGUUCCAUUGCCUCCUCAUUUGCAACCAUCACUAACCCUAACCCGACCUUGGACUUCUACACUAGUGGUGACCCCUUCACAUAUCACCAUGAUGUAUCAGAUACAUACAUCACACUUCAGUCGAACAGGGUAUCCUAAUCCCGGCUGGUUCCUAUAUAACGCUGUCUCCGGACAAUACUGUUCCCGACAUUCCACCAACAGUCAAAUCUUUACCUUUCAUAUUGCAAACUGCUACUAGUACCCAGUAUCUCUUCAAAGGAAUCUCGUCAACACUAUCCUCCGCCAAUUUUUUUUCUGCCCACUCAUUAAUCAACAACCUCCGUUUAUAUCCAUGUCAUCUAAAUUUUUCUAAAUUUUACAAAUUUCAAUUAUCCGCCACCUCCGCCGUUAUUUUUUUUUGCUUUCAUUCUCCGCCUCCGCCGCCUGAUACCCUAACCAACAAUGUCAUUUCCGUCCAUACACUUUAUAUGUUUUCCAAAUAUUGAAAUUCUCCGUCGCUGCCUCAGAUAAUUCCCGCUCCGACAUGCUACAACUAUCAGUAUUGUACAUAUUGUAUCUUAUUUAUGGUAUCAGUUAGUAAUAAAAAUUACAUGUCUGCUUUCUCUAA